GGGCGGUUAGCUCAGUUGGUAGAGCGCAUACUUGACGUGUAUGAGGUCAGGGGUUCGAGCCCUCUACCGCCCA
RNAcentral lists this transfer RNA (73 nucleotides) under Candidatus Wildermuthbacteria bacterium. RNAcentral describes it as "tRNA-Val". It matches the Rfam family "tRNA". Rfam says of the family: Transfer RNA (tRNA) molecules are approximately 80 nucleotides in length. Lineage: Bacteria; Candidatus Wildermuthiibacteriota. The record is from RNAcentral.